RNAcentral lists this ribosomal RNA (253 nucleotides) under uncultured bacterium. RNAcentral's name for it is "partial 16S ribosomal RNA". It matches the Rfam family "Bacterial small subunit ribosomal RNA", at positions 524 to 776 of the family's 1533-position model. The record is from RNAcentral.
UACGAAGGGGGCUAGCGUUGUUCGGAAUUACUGGGCGUAAAGGGCUCGUAGGUGGCCAACUAAGUCAGACGUGAAAUCCCUCGGCUUAACCGGGGAACUGCGUCUGAUACUGGAUGGCUUGAGUUCGGGAGAGGGAUGCGGAAUUCCAGGUGUAGCGGUGAAAUGCGUAGAUAUCUGGAGGAACACCGGUGGCGAAGGCGGCUCACUGGCCCGAUACUGACGCUGAGGCACGAAAGCGUGGGGAGCAAACAGG